GACCGCUCCGGUAGCAUAGUGGUUAAAGCGUCCGCCUCGGAUGAGGAAGGUCGCGGGUUCUAACCCCGGCCUGGUCA
Molecule: non-coding RNA, 77 nt
Organism: Potamilus streckersoni
Lineage: Eukaryota; Metazoa; Mollusca; Bivalvia; Unionida; Unionidae
Source: the annotation of a GenBank genome assembly